AACGCAUAUUGCGCCCUUUGGUAUUCCGAAGGGCAUGCCUGUUCGAGCGUCAUUAUCACCAUAUCAAGCUUGGCUUGUUGUUGGGCCCUUUGUCACCUGGUGACAGGUCCAAAAGAUAAUGAGCGAUGUCGUACCGACUCUAUAUGCAACGAGCUGAUCACAGCACGCAUCUGGCAGUUGUACGGCCCGGUCUUUCACCCUUUUAUUUCUCAAGGUUGACCUCGGAUCAGGUAGGAAUACCCGCUGAACUUAA
RNAcentral lists this unclassified non-coding RNA (253 nucleotides) under uncultured Chaetothyriales. RNAcentral's name for it is "sequence contains 5.8S rRNA gene, ITS2, 28S rRNA gene". The stretch from base 1 to 52 matches the Rfam family "5.8S ribosomal RNA", at positions 103 to 154 of the family's 154-position model. The record is from RNAcentral. Lineage: Eukaryota; Fungi; Ascomycota; Eurotiomycetes; Chaetothyriales.